GAUGAACGCUGGCGGCGUGCCUAAUACAUGCAAGUCGAGCGAACAGACGAGGAGCUUGCUCCUCUGACGUUAGCGGCGGACGGGUGAGUAACACGUGGAUAACCUACCUAUAAGACUGGGAUAAAUUCGGGAAACCGGAGCUAAUACCGGAUAAUAUAUUGAACCGCAUGGUUCAAUAGUGAAAGACGGUUUUGCUGUCACUUAUAGAUGGAUCCGCGCCGCAUUAGCUAGUUGGUAAGGUAACGGCUUGCCAAGGCAACGAUGCGUAGCCGACCUGAGAGGGUGAUCGGCCACACUGGAACUGAGACACGGUCCAGACUCCUACGGGAGGCAGCAGUAGGGAAUCUUCCGCAAUGGGCGAAAGCUUGACGGAGCAACGCCGCGUGAGUGAUGAAGGUCUUCGGAUCGUAAAACUCUGUUAUUAGGGAAGAACAAAUGUGUAAGUAACUAUGCACGUCUUGACGGUACCUAAUCAGAAAGCCACGGCUAACUACGUG
This 497-nucleotide ribosomal RNA is filed under the name uncultured bacterium. RNAcentral's name for it is "partial 16S ribosomal RNA". It matches the Rfam family "Bacterial small subunit ribosomal RNA", at positions 28 to 507 of the family's 1533-position model. The record is from RNAcentral.